Molecule: ribosomal RNA, 253 nt
Filed under: uncultured bacterium
Lineage: Bacteria
Description: partial 16S ribosomal RNA
Rfam family: Bacterial small subunit ribosomal RNA
Source: RNAcentral
UACAGAGGUCUCAAGCGUCGUUCGGAUUCAUUGGGCGUAAAGCGUGCGCAGGCGGUCCGCAAAGUCUGAUGUGAAAGCCCCGGGCUCAACCUGGGAACUGCAUUGGAAACUAACGGGCUCGAGUGUGGCAGAGGGGGGUGGAAUUCCACGUGUAGCAGUGAAAUGCGUAGAGAUGUGGAGGAACACCGAUGGCGAAGGCAGCCCCCUGGGCUAACACUGACGCUCAGGCACGAAAGCGUGGGGAGCAAACAGG